RNAcentral lists this ribosomal RNA (500 nucleotides) under uncultured bacterium. Its description in RNAcentral is "partial 16S ribosomal RNA". It matches the Rfam family "Bacterial small subunit ribosomal RNA", at positions 30 to 523 of the family's 1533-position model. The record is from RNAcentral.
AUUGAACGCUGGCGGAAUGCUUUACACAUGCAAGUCGAACGGCAGCACGGACUUCGGUCUGGUGGCGAGUGGCGAACGGGUGAGUAAUGUAUCGGAACGUGCCCAGUCGUGGGGGAUAACGUAGUGAAAAUUACGCUAAUACCGCAUACGAUCUACGGAUGAAAGCGGGGGAUCGCAAGACCUCGCGCGAUUGGAGCGGCCGAUAUCAGAUUAGGUAGUUGGUGGGGUAAAGGCCCACCAAGCCAACGAUCUGUAGCUGGUCUGAGUGGACGACCAGCCACACUGGAACUGAGACACGGUCCAGACUCCUACGGGAGGCAGCAGUGGGGAAUUUUGGACAAUGGGCGAAAGCCUGAUCCAGCCAUUCCGCGUGCAGGAUGAAGGCCCUCGGGUUGUAAACUGCUUUUGUACAGAACGAAAAGGUUUCUACUAAUACUAGGAGCUCAUGACGGUACUGUAAGAAUAAGCACCGGCUAACUACGUGCCAGCAGCCGCCGUAA